This is a long non-coding RNA of Mesocricetus auratus (golden hamster), 441 nucleotides long. RefSeq lists it as uncharacterized. The transcript is spliced from 2 exons. NCBI's taxonomy places the organism in Eukaryota, Metazoa, Chordata, Mammalia, Rodentia, Cricetidae. The record is from RefSeq and is a predicted model, not a curated record.
GUCCUGGGUUCUAUGACAAUGUGGCUGAGCAAGCCAUGGGAGAGAAGUCAGUAGGCAGCACCCUCCAUGGCCUCGGUCAGUGAUGAAGAGCAAAGCUGAAGUGUAAGCCCAGAUGCAAAAAGCGGAUGUCAGAAGAAGUGGAAGUUUUUAAUGUUCCAUCACAAAAGAGGCGGUCACAGCUCAGAACAAACUGGUAUGGAAGGUUCCAGACACAAAGUAAUGACAAGAAGAUGGAAAUUGAUCAGCACACUGCAGGCAUAUGUUAAAAUUAUCACACCUGAGUGUUGAUCAAUUCUAAUAUUUAAGGAGACUGAAUUGUUAACUGCCUGAUUUGACCAUUAUAUACUAUAUAUAUAUGUCUUAUGUGUACUAAGCAGCCUUUACCUAAUAAAUGUACCCAAUUAACAAAAUUCCUAAUAAAGAAAAGAUCUCUAUGCAGUA